Osmerus eperlanus (European smelt) is the source of this 351-nucleotide long non-coding RNA. RefSeq lists it as uncharacterized. The transcript has 3 exons. NCBI's taxonomy places the organism in Eukaryota, Metazoa, Chordata, Actinopteri, Osmeriformes, Osmeridae. The record is from RefSeq and is a predicted model, not a curated record.
AAAAGCUGUAGGUGCGGCCAGGUGUAUUUUAGAAAACAAACGAACAAUCACAGAACAGCUCCGCUGCCUAGAUACCCAUGCCGAGGUAUUUUGACUGUGGCAGCGCAGCGCAGAUUGAGCUGCAAGAGGAAAGUUUCAUACAGGUCCAGCAAGUUCCAACCGGGUCCACCACAAUGACAGGGGGGCGGUCUCUGAGAGGGUGCGACCCCUCUUUGUGAUUGGAUGACAGUCUGUCAGAGGGAAAGAGAGGAGAGAAGGAGGAAGAGAAGAUAAGAAUGUCUCGAAACAUCAACUUUGAACUAAACCCCCACCUCCUAGAAGCUGGACUAGAGUGAGAAGCUCUCCUUUCCU